CAGCCGCCGCGGGAAUACGUAGGGUGCAAGCGUUAAUCGGAAUUACUGGGCGUAAAGCGUGCGCAGGCGGUUAUAUAAGUCAGAUGUGAAAUCCCCGAGCUCAACCUGGGAACUGCAUUUGAGACUGUAUGGCUAGAGUGUGUCAGAGGGGGGUAGAAUUCCACGUGUAGCAGUGAAAUGCGUAGAUAUGUGGAGGAAUACCGAUGGCGAAGGCAGCCCCCUGGGAUAACACUGACGCUCAUGCACGAAAGCGUGGGGAGCAAACAGGAUUAGAUACCCCUGUAGUCCCUGUCUCUUAUAC
This 301-nucleotide ribosomal RNA is filed under the name uncultured bacterium. RNAcentral describes it as "partial 16S ribosomal RNA". It matches the Rfam family "Bacterial small subunit ribosomal RNA", at positions 509 to 807 of the family's 1533-position model. The record is from RNAcentral.